CCAGGGAGCCUAAGACGACUUGGGAUUUCUGAAGCGAGACAUGCCCACGCGAGGCGCGGGGUGAUGGUCAGGCGGAGGCCGUGACAGAGAACGGUGCUGAGGAGAAGCCAGGCCGCUGCCUCGCCCUCUCGCGCCCCCCGUGGCUCGGGGAGCCCCGGCCGCUCAGGUGCGCGCCACACAGCGCCAGCCCGCCCCAGCUGAACGACUUCUUUUUAAGAGGAGGUAGCAUUGUGGGGCGGUACCUGGAACGUCCCCACAGAUGCGUGGAGCUUGAAGAAUCAUUCAAGAGAAUUUUAAGAGAAAAAAUGCUACAUUUGGGGUUUGUCAAAUGGGAAACGUGAGGGAAUAUGGUGACUGCUGUUGGAAACAUGACAGGUAUGCCGCGUUUUAAGGCUGACCAGGGAGGACCAUUCGUUCUGAAACCAACCCUGAAAGAAGGCGAGCACAGUUAGAAGGGCCGAGAAUUAACGAGAUGAUCUCCUUCAGUGGUCUGCAACGAUGGAUAUUGUACUGCUCAUCAUCUCUGUUCAGGAAUUCCCCAUUGAAAGGACAGGUUUUACAAAUGGGAAAGCUGAGAUCCACAAAUUCUAGCUGACUUGCCCAAGACAACAGUCCAGAAUUAGUUAUUCCGGAACCAAGAGCCCACUCUGAUUUAUCGCACGGCUUCUGUGUUAGCAUCCUCCUCC
This is a long non-coding RNA of Symphalangus syndactylus (siamang), 686 nucleotides long. RefSeq lists it as uncharacterized. NCBI's taxonomy places the organism in Eukaryota, Metazoa, Chordata, Mammalia, Primates, Hylobatidae. The record is from RefSeq and is a predicted model, not a curated record.